UCUGAAGGAGAUUAAAGAUUUAUCGGUGAUGGAUGGGGAUGCGUCUGAUUAGCUUGUUGGCGGGGUAACGGCCCACCAAGGCGACGAUCAGUAGGGGUUCUGAGAGGAAGGUCCCCCACAUUGGAACUGAGACACGGUCCAAACUCCUACGGGAGGCAGCAGUGAGGAAUAUUGGUCAAUGGACGAGAGUCUGAACCAGCCAAGUAGCGUGCAGGAUGACGGCCCUAUGGGUUGUAAACUGCUUUUAUAAGGGAAUAAAGUGAGUCUCGUGAGACUUUUUGCAUGUACCCUAUGAAUAAGGACCGGCUAAUUCCGUGCCAGCAGCCGCGGUAAUACGGAAGGUCCGGGCGUUAUCCGGAUUUAUUGGGUUUAAAGGGAGCGUAGGCCGGAGAUUAAGCGUGUUGUGAAAUGUAGACGCUCAACGUCUGCACUGCAGCGCGAACUGGUUUCCUUGAGUACGCACAAAGUGGGCGGAAUUCGUGGUGUAGCGGUGAAAUGCUUAGAUAUCACGAAGAACUCCGAUUGCGAAGGCAGCUCACUGGAGCGCAACUGACGCUGAAGCUCGAAAAGUGCGGGUAUUCGAA
This 584-nucleotide ribosomal RNA is filed under the name uncultured Bacteroidota bacterium. Its description in RNAcentral is "bacterial SSU rRNA". It matches the Rfam family "Bacterial small subunit ribosomal RNA", at positions 190 to 772 of the family's 1533-position model. Lineage: Bacteria; Pseudomonadati; Bacteroidota. The record is from RNAcentral.